Molecule: transfer RNA, 73 nt
Filed under: Capra hircus (goat)
Lineage: Eukaryota; Metazoa; Chordata; Mammalia; Artiodactyla; Bovidae
Also listed under: 1 other name
Rfam family: tRNA
About the family: Transfer RNA (tRNA) molecules are approximately 80 nucleotides in length. Their secondary structure includes four short double-helical elements and three loops (D, anti-codon, and T loops).
Source: Rfam by way of RNAcentral
UUCCUGGUGGUCCAGUGGCUAAGACUCUGAGUUUCCAACGCAGGGGAUCUGGGUUCCAUCCCUGGUCAGGGAA